AACUUUCGGCAACGGAUCACUUGUUUCUGGCAUCGAUGAAGAACGCAGCGAAAUGCGAUAAGUAAUGUGAAUUGCAGAAUUCAGUGAAUCAUCGAAUCUUUGAACGCACAUUGCGCCCUCUGGUAUUCCGGGGGGCAUGCCUGUUCGAGCGUCAUUACAACCCUCAAGCUCUGCUUGGUAUUGGGCUACACCCGACUGGGUGGGCCUUAAAAUCAGUGGCGGUGCCAUCUGGCUCUAAGCGUAGUAAUUCUUCUCGCUCUGGAGAUCUAGGUGUUUGCUUGCCAGCAACCCCCAAUUUAUCAAAGGUUGACCUCGGAUCAGGUAGGGAUACCCGCUGAACUUAAGCAUAUCAAUAAGCGGAGGCU
RNAcentral lists this unclassified non-coding RNA (365 nucleotides) under uncultured fungus. RNAcentral's name for it is "sequence contains ITS2". The stretch from base 1 to 154 matches the Rfam family "5.8S ribosomal RNA". Lineage: Eukaryota; Fungi. The record is from RNAcentral.